RNAcentral lists this long non-coding RNA (344 nucleotides) under Mytilus galloprovincialis (Mediterranean mussel). The record is from RNAcentral. Lineage: Eukaryota; Metazoa; Mollusca; Bivalvia; Mytilida; Mytilidae.
UGCAUAUUGCAAUACUUAUUAAUAGCAAUUAACUAUAAUAUAUAUAUAUGUGCAGUUUGUUAUGAAUCCAACUUCAAACUUAAAUUAGCGUACAGAUUAUGUUGACCAAAAUUAAAUCUAAUAAAUGACGGCGGUGAUUAAUUUUUGUUUCCAUAACACAUAAAUAUAAUAGAAAAGACGUCAACACAUUUGACAAAAUCCGAUGAGAAUUACAAAUAUAACAUUAAACAUUUAAACUAAAUACACGAAUUUGGGAUAGACAAGUACCGUAACACGUCUUAUAGUAAUGCGAAUUCACACUCAGCAAAACAGUCACAAUCGGGAAUGAGUCACGUUUGGUAAUU